AUGAUACGCGAGGAACCUUACCUGGGCUUAAAUGUAGAGUGCAUUUUUUAGAGAUUAGAAAUUCCCUUGGGGCUUUCUGCAAGGUGCUGCAUGGUUGUCGUCAGCUCGUGCCGUGAGGUGUCGGGUUAAGUCCCAUAACGAGCGCAACCCUUAUCGUUAGUUGCCAGCUGGUAAAGCAGGGGACUCUAGCGAAACUGCCACCGUAAGGUGAGAGGAAGGUGGGAUGACGUCAAAUCAGCACGGCCCUUAUGUCCAGGGCUACACACGUGUUACAAUGGCCGGCACAGAGGGCAGCUACCUGGUGACAGGAUGCUAAUCUCGAAAACCGGUCUCAGUUCGGAUCGAAGUCUGCAACUCGACUUCGUGAAGCUGGAUUCGCUAGUAAUCGCGCAUCAGCCAUGGCGCGGUGAAUACGUUCCCGGGCCUU
This 427-nucleotide ribosomal RNA is filed under the name uncultured Sphingobacteriales bacterium. Its description in RNAcentral is "bacterial SSU rRNA". It matches the Rfam family "Bacterial small subunit ribosomal RNA", at positions 954 to 1382 of the family's 1533-position model. Lineage: Bacteria; Pseudomonadati; Bacteroidota; Sphingobacteriia; Sphingobacteriales. The record is from RNAcentral.